GUAGGUGGCAAGCGUUGUCCGGAAUUAUUGGGCGUAAAGCGCGCGCAGGCGGUCCUUUAAGUCUGAUGUGAAAGCCCACGGGCUCAACCGUGGAGGGUCAUUGGAAACUGGGGGACUUGAGUACAGAAGAGGAAAGCGGAAUUCCAAGUGUAGCGGUGAAAUGCGUAGAGACUUGGAGGAGCACCAGUGGCGAAGGCGGCUUUCUGGUCUGUAACUGACGCUGAGGCGCGAAAGCGUGGGGAGCAAACAGGAUUAGAUACCCUGGUAGUCCACGCCGUAAACGAUGAGUGCUAAGUGUUAGGGGGUUUCCGCCCCUUAGUGCUGCAGCUAACGCAUUAAGCACUCCGCCUGGGGAGUACGGCCGCAAAGGCUG
This 373-nucleotide ribosomal RNA is filed under the name uncultured organism. Its description in RNAcentral is "partial 16S ribosomal RNA". It matches the Rfam family "Bacterial small subunit ribosomal RNA", at positions 527 to 896 of the family's 1533-position model. The record is from RNAcentral.